Candoia aspera is the source of this 1445-nucleotide long non-coding RNA. RefSeq lists it as uncharacterized. The record is from RefSeq and is a predicted model, not a curated record. Lineage: Eukaryota; Metazoa; Chordata; Lepidosauria; Squamata; Candoiidae. The transcript is spliced from 3 exons.
UUCAUGGCUGACUAGGCUUCCAACGUCUUUAUCAAUCUUCAAGACAUUAGUUUAUAAAGCCUCAAAAAGUUUUAUGGAGGCUUAAAGAUCUAUGCAGUCAUCAGGAGUCGAGCUAACUAAGGGCGAAAAAUUUACUGGCACACGUUUUCAUCUCUCUUCCUCUAGUUCUGAGAAAACGAAAUUAUACUUAAACAUUGUUCUUACCGGAAGUUCAAGAUAUGCCCCAGUAUAGAACUCUAUGGUGAAACUCAUCUAGCCCCUCUCUCCCUCUUCCAUCGAUGAUUCUGCGUUUUAACGCCGGAAGGGCGGCUGCCUUCUUUUACUGCGCAGGCGCCAAGACCCCGUGCCUUUCCGGAAACCCGGAAGUAGGAGGAAGAGGAGUGUAUCCCAGAAACAAAAAUGUGAUGGUGCCAUCAAGUUUUUUGUACCAUUCCUAAAUGAAUGAUCUUCACCCUUCCUGAUGAAAAAACAGCUAAUAUGAAAUUGAAGUUCUUUGCUGAAGUAUUGCCUUUUCUGGAAGGACUGCAGAGUGGGUAACUGCACUACGUAUUGGCCGUUCCAAGUUUAAGGAGCAACUUGGGGAAAAAAGGCACAGUAAGAAACUGGAAUUUAAACCUGAACUCAGCCUUGCUUGGAAUUUACAGUUUCCCUAAAUCCAAAACACCAACUGUACCACAUUUGGAUGAUGUGUUAAGCCUAAGUCUUGGGUAAGGACUGGGUGUGAUGAGGGGUAAAAUGAUGGUAAAUGGUAAAUCCAUGGAAGCGACUUAACUAUUUGGAGUUGGGGACUGUGUAUUCUGUCAGUUCUGGAGGUAUUUAUAUUGUCCCCCAGGUUCAGUUUUCAUACAUAAACUUCUCCUGUGUGUUCACAUUUCUGUAAAUGAAUGCAGAACUUAAAAUUUGGAAAUGAAGUGUAUGAACUUCAUACUGUACAGUAUUGGGCACCAUUUUAGGAAGCUCUGGUGAGGCUUGUUGGAAAGCUUCUGCCUUAGUUUCAAAAGAGCUAGUUAGGCCACUAUUCUCAUAAUACAAAUCAUCUCCUUAAAAAAAAAAAAACGUACGUGUGUGCACGUGUGUAUAUGGAAGGUUAGAGCAGGAAGAAGUCUCCAUAUGAUGGAAAAUAAACUGAUUUGCUUGUGUGGAUCUGUUUCUUGAUCCAGCUAGAUUUGUUAGGUUUAACCUGGGCAAUCCAAAUCACCGGUCUCUUUUCUGUGUUCGUUUAAAGUAAGCCUCUUUGAUCACAUUGUUAUGAAUUUAAAGUAUUCCUCAUUCUGACAGUAGUUUCUUUCCUUGGGCUUGUUUUAGAUACUUUAACUAAUGGAUUAGAAAACAUUUUUGUAUCAACGCUGGAGUUUUGAGGCCUUACGUGCAAGUACAGCUUAAAGCUGUGGGGCCGUGAUGGCAAACUUUUCCCAGCUACUCUAUGGCUAGAAUUCACUGCCACU